GCCUACGGCCAUGCCACCCUGAACAAGCCCAAUCCCGUCUGAUCUCAGAAGCUAAGCAGGGUCGGUCCUGGUUAGUACUUGGAUGGGAGACCACCUAGGCAGACCAGGUGCUGUAGGAG
Molecule: ribosomal RNA, 119 nt
Filed under: Pteropus alecto (black flying fox)
Lineage: Eukaryota; Metazoa; Chordata; Mammalia; Chiroptera; Pteropodidae
Source: RNAcentral